RNAcentral lists this ribosomal RNA (468 nucleotides) under uncultured bacterium. RNAcentral describes it as "partial 16S ribosomal RNA". It matches the Rfam family "Bacterial small subunit ribosomal RNA", at positions 28 to 507 of the family's 1533-position model. The record is from RNAcentral.
GACGAACGCUGGCGGCGUGCUUAACACAUGCAAGUCGAACGGAAAGGCCCUGCUUUUGUGGGGUGCUCGAGUGGCGAACGGGUGAGUAACACGUGAGUAACCUGCCCUUGACUUUGGGAUAACUUCAGGAAACUGGGGCUAAUACCGGAUAGGAUCUCCUGCUGCAUGGUGGGGGUUGGAAAGUUUCGGCGGUUGGGGAUGGACUCGCGGCUGAUCAGCUUGUUGGUGGGGUAGUGGCUUACCAAGGCUUUGACGGGUAGCCGGCCUGAGAGGGUGACCGGCCACAUUGGGACUGAGAUACGGCCCAGACUCCUACGGGAGGCAGCAGUGGGGAAUAUUGCACAAUGGGCGGAAGCCUGAUGCAGCAACGCCGCGUGCGGGAUGACGGCCUUCGGGUUGUAAACCGCUUUCGCCUGUGACGAAGCGUGAGUGACGGUAAUGGGUAAAGAAGCACCGGCUAACUACGUG